Molecule: ribosomal RNA, 497 nt
Filed under: uncultured bacterium
Lineage: Bacteria
Description: partial 16S ribosomal RNA
Rfam family: Bacterial small subunit ribosomal RNA
Source: RNAcentral
GAUGAACGCUGGCGGCGUGCCUAAUACAUGCAAGUCGAGCGAACAGAUGAGGAGCUUGCUCCUCUGACGUUAGCGGCGAACGGGUGAGUAACACGUGGAUAACCUACCUAUAAGACUGGGAUAACUUCGGGAAACCGGAGCUAAUACCGGAUAAUAUAUUUAACCGCAUGGUUCAAUAGUGAAAGACGGUUUUGCUUUCACUUAUAGAUGGAUCCGCUCCGCAUUAGCUAGUUGGUAAGGUAACGGCUUACCAAGGCAACGAUGCGUAGCCGACCUGAGAGGGUGAUCGGCCACACUGGAACUGAGACACGGUCCAGACUCCUACGGGGGGCAGCAGUAGGGAAUCUUCCGCAAUGGGCGAAAGCCUGACGGAGCAACGCCGCGUGGGUGAUGAAGGUCUUCGGAUCGUAAAACUCUGUUAUUAGGGAAGACCAAAUGUGUAAGUAACUAUGCACGUCUUGACGGUACCUAAUCAGAAAGCCACGGCUAACUACGUG